RNAcentral lists this long non-coding RNA (724 nucleotides) under Zea mays. RNAcentral's name for it is "uncharacterized LOC100274942 (LOC100274942)". The record is from RNAcentral. Lineage: Eukaryota; Viridiplantae; Streptophyta; Magnoliopsida; Poales; Poaceae.
AUUCGGUUUGGGCCUUUCAGUUCUCCAAUGUCAGCACAGCCCGAGCCCAAGGCGGCAAGGCCCACCAGUGGAAACCCUAUCCCGAUUCCCGUGGCCGCCGCCUGCCAGAUGCCACGCUAGCCUUGCCCUUGCCCGUGGCCGCCGCCCGCCAGCGCCAGCCGCCUUCGCCGUUCGCCCUGUCGGCUGACGGCUGUCGCCCAGCGCCGGAGCGCCCCAAGUCCCCAACCGGCCAACCCAUACGUGGAGACGCCAAGCCCAGUCACUCCCUCUCGUGGUCGCGGGUCGCGUCACGUGGUCGGCAGUCGCGCCGCCGCGGGCUCGCGGCUGUCUCCUGGCUGCAGGCUGCUCGCUCGCUCGUGUGUUAGUGUGUGCUGGACUGCUGGCUCAUCGUUGAUCAACAAAGCAAGUUGCAAGCGGUGAAAGCGACUGCGCUGGUGUCUCUGUCCGGCUAGCUCCAAGCUCCUCGCUCCUGCGGCUACAAGGACCAUGACAGGGAGAGAUGAAAGCUCCGACCGUAGUUCGGCGUGCUUGUUGUUGGGAACACCGGCUCUACUAGCUGCUCUUAGAACUGCUGCUCACUUCUGGAUAAAUUAUCAGUUAAUUAGUAUGCUUGUAUGUGACAUGAGUGUAGAUAUAAUUUCUCACUCAAAUAAUGUCACUAUGUAAUUAUGUUGAUGCUAUAAACUUAAUAUAUAUUAAUGUUUGAAUAAAAAAAAAAAAAAAA